AAACUAUACAAAACUUGCACCAAAACCAUAGCCAAAAAUCUAAACCUUCUGACCUUAGCCUUCAAAGCUCGAAUGCCCCAAAAAACUAACUCUAAUCCUUAAUAUGGCCUUGGGCAACCUCUUCAAAGCCUAUUGGCCAUGAUUUUUGAUCAUUAGGAAUGGAGAUUUUCAUUAUUCAUCUCCAUUCAUCUAUAUUGAUGCCCUAAUUACUCCUUUUACUACCAAAACUCUUUUUCAAUCUUUUUUUAUAAGAUUUAUAUAAUUUAUGCUCUAAACAUCAAAUAAAAGAGCCAAAAUAAGUUUCCAAAGGUCACCAAUGUCAAACAAAUGUGAUUCUAAAUAUUUAGAAGUUACUAUCAACUAAAACCAAUCCUUAUAGAAUUGAAAGUAGAAUGUUAUCUUGCUUAGAUCUUGUU
Molecule: long non-coding RNA, 416 nt
Filed under: Physcomitrium patens
Lineage: Eukaryota; Viridiplantae; Streptophyta; Bryopsida; Funariales; Funariaceae
Description: long non-coding RNA (PPAT_LNC003088)
Source: RNAcentral